RNAcentral lists this ribosomal RNA (253 nucleotides) under uncultured bacterium. Its description in RNAcentral is "partial 16S ribosomal RNA". It matches the Rfam family "Bacterial small subunit ribosomal RNA", at positions 524 to 776 of the family's 1533-position model. The record is from RNAcentral.
UACAGAGGGUGCGAGCGUUAAUCGGAAUUACUGGGCGUAAAGCGUGCGUAGACGGUUAUUUAAGUCGAGUGUGAAAGCCCCGGGCUCAACCUGGGAAUUGCAUUCGAGACUGAAUAGCUAGGGUACGGUAGAGGGAAGUGGAAUUUCCGGUGUAGCGGUGAAAUGCGUAGAUAUCGGAAGGAACAUCAGUGGCGAAAGCGACUUCCUGGACCAGUACCGACGUUCAGGCACGAAAGCGUGGGGAGCAAACAGG